ACGAAACAGGACAAUGGAAAUCUAGGCUAGGAUGGUUCUACUUUACAGAAGGCAGUCCUUUGUUUGAAGAAGUUCUCUGUUUGAAGGGCUGUCUAGUCCAGGCUGGUUUAGUGAUGAAGACCCAUAAGAAGGUGAACAGACAGCAGAGGCCUUGAAGGUGCCCGUCUGUGGUUAAACACCUGGACAACAGAGUGAGCAGACACACAGGCCCCUUAGGCCUAGUCUUCCCUAUUAUGCCCUAAUCAUUUGGAGAGAAAAAGAUGAGUGUUGCCCACCGGAGCCUGCACCAGUUAACAGGACCCUUGUGGGUGUCUUGAACAUACACACAUCGAAAAGGAGAUGAAAAAGUUACAAGCUUGUUAAGAUUCAGUCUUUCAGGGGAAGACAUCAUGAGGCAUCUUCUGCCAUGAGCCUUUUUCAGAUCACAAUCAUGGACAGCCAAGAAGCUACUGGAGAAAUGAUUACUACAAAGAAAAACACCACUCUUGGCUACCUCAAAUGGUAAGGUCCACAUCUGGACUGCUCUGCUCAGAGGUGGGACCAACUUAGCUGCCAUAUCCCUAAUGUGAGUGGGAGAGGAGAGAUGAAAGAGGCCAGAAGGAGGUGACAACCCACAUAACUGGAUAUCAGACACACUCUUCGGAGCUCAACCAGCAGAUCCAUGUGGGAAAGAUGAACUCGUGAAACUACCCUAUGCGCAUGGC
Long non-coding RNA from Rhineura floridana, 704 nucleotides. RefSeq lists it as uncharacterized. NCBI's taxonomy places the organism in Eukaryota, Metazoa, Chordata, Lepidosauria, Squamata, Rhineuridae. The record is from RefSeq and is a predicted model, not a curated record. The transcript is spliced from 4 exons.